GACGAACGCUGGCGGCGCGCCUAACACAUGCAAGUCGAACGGAGCUGAGAGAAGCUUGCUUUUCUUAGCUUAGUGGCGAACGGGUGAGUAACGCGUGAGUAACCUGCCCUGGAGUGGGGGACAACAGUUGGAAACGACUGCUAAUACCGCAUAAGCCCACGAUCCGGCAUCGGGUUGAGGGAAAAGGAUUUAUUCGCUUCAGGAUGGACUCGCGUCCAAUUAGCUAGUUGGUGAGGUAACGGCCCACCAAGGCGACGAUUGGUAGCCGGACUGAGAGGUUGAACGGUCGCAUUGGGACUGGGACACGGCCCAGACGGCUACGAGAGGCAGCAGUGGGGGAUAUGGCACAAUGGGGGAAACCCUGAUGCAGCGACGCCGCGUGGAGGAAGAAGGUUUUCGGAUUGUAAACUCCUGUCGUUAGGGACGAUAAUGACGGUACCUAACAAGAAAGCACCGGCUAACUACGU
Molecule: ribosomal RNA, 467 nt
Filed under: uncultured bacterium
Lineage: Bacteria
Description: partial 16S ribosomal RNA
Rfam family: Bacterial small subunit ribosomal RNA
Source: RNAcentral